This 1629-nucleotide unclassified non-coding RNA is filed under the name Hevea brasiliensis (rubber tree). The record is from RNAcentral. Lineage: Eukaryota; Viridiplantae; Streptophyta; Magnoliopsida; Malpighiales; Euphorbiaceae.
GUCACCAAACCCAUGAUUGCAAACCUGGUGCCAGGACAUAAAAUUUAAAAUUAAUAACCAAAAUAAUAAUGAACACAAAUCCAAGUCAGUCAACAAUUCAUCGUCUUACAUUGCUGCAUCUGUGGUACAGGGACCUAACUCGCUUGAUAUAGCGGACUUAACUUAUUAAUGAACUACGAUGAAAUUUACAAUUACAGCCAAGCUUCAUAUUUCUUACGUUGCUGCAUAUGUAGUGCAGGGACCUAACUAGCUUGAUAAGGCAGACAACUUAUUAAUGAACUAUGAUGAAAUUUACAAUUAUGGUCAACUGUCAUAAAUGCCCAAUUGUAGCCCAAAGUCUACUUAUAUGUUACUCUUUGACAAUCUUUAUUCUAAUAAUAAAGUUAAUAAAUCGACAUUUUGAUUUCUUGUGUUACAUUCUGCCCUUUAUAGACCAUCUCACAAGCAUGGAUUAAAAUAAAGCAAAUGUUCAAGCAAAGCAAUUAUCUGGUAAAAAAAAAUUCCAGAAUAAGAAUUUCAUUCUCUGCCAAAAUCUUAUGAUGAUUGAGGAAACCUAUGUCAUCAACACUUAGUGGCCUUCAUUUUACUCAGAAUAACAUGGAAUGGUUCUUAAUAUCACUCAAAUAUAGGCUAGUCUUCCAUGUACAGGAGAACUAAGAGGACAGCCGGACUAUUUUCAUCUGAAAAGUGGUAGUUGAGACCAAAACAUUUGCAAUUUUGCAUUGACAUUCACCAGCUCUGACCCUGACUUUCCUCAAAAAGUGUCUCCAUGAGUGCAAAAUCUACACGGACACUUGGAAUCUCUUUUGUUCCUAACAGUAAAACUUUGUGUGUAUGUAAGUGCCAUACAUAGCUCUUUCUAGAAAAGUGCAGUUUCUCGACUAUUCUCAAUGAAUCUGUCAGCAAACUCAUAGCACUAGAUUGAGAUAUGCUAACAGGCAUAUUAUACUCCCUCGUAUCAAGUGAACAAAGGGAUGGGUGAUACAAUCUUCACAACGCAUGAACCUACAGUAACUGUAUUAGAAACAUUUUCUGACCAAGUAUAAGCCUCUACAGUCUCUACAAGCAUUUCACUCUCUUCAGGAAGAGCAGACAGGAAUGGAAGACCUUUAAUCAGUGUGGUGCACUUCAUCAUUCCAGGAAUAAACAAUCAUUGUUUAUAGACAACAUAAACUCAUAAAGUAUUACGUAUUAUGUAUCUGUUAGCAGUCCCAAAGAUCAUAUUGAUACCAUAGAGCAACACUACCUAUCAGGUACUCAACAAUACACUGCAUCCACUCCACUCACUUCAUAUGUCACGUCACCCACUCAAACCUUAACCAUUUUAAUGAUGGUCAACCAAAUACAGUAGAAAUAACCACUCAUAGAAUCACUUGCCUUCAAGUUGUUUUCACUUCUUUGCAUCUAUUUGAGGCUUCUAACAUAUUUGAGGACCUCUACACAUGUUACAACCUUAAACAUCCCAAUGCUAUGAAAUCAUAUGUUACAACCUCAGAGAAGGAAGGUUAUGAGAAUAACACAUAAACAAACAAUUAUACCAUAAGCAUAACACAUGCAAUGAAUACAAGCAUAAAACCAAAACUGAUGGAGAAACGAACCAAACUUACAUGGAGGCCAUGGAAACCUGUU